RNAcentral lists this ribosomal RNA (254 nucleotides) under uncultured bacterium. RNAcentral describes it as "partial 16S ribosomal RNA". It matches the Rfam family "Bacterial small subunit ribosomal RNA", at positions 524 to 776 of the family's 1533-position model. The record is from RNAcentral.
UACGGGGGGGGCAAGCGUUGUUCGGAAUUACUGGGCGUAAAGGGCUCGUAGGCGGCCAACUAAGUCAGUCGUGAAAUCCCUCGGCUUAACCGGGGAACUGCGUCUGAUACUGGAUGGCUUGAGUUUGGGAGAGGGAUGCGGAAUUCCAGGUGUAGCGGUGAAAUGCGUAGAUAUCUGGAGGAACACCGGUGGCGAAGGCGGCAUCCUGGACCAACACUGACGCUGAGUGAGCGAAAGCCAGGGGAGCAAACGGG